GACGAACGCUGGCGGCGUGCCUAAUACAUGCAAGUCGAACGAACGGAUAAAGAGCUUGCUCUUUUGAAGUUAGUGGCGGACGGGUGAGUAACACGUGGGUAACCUGCCUCACAGCUGGGGAUAACAUCGAGAAAUCGAUGCUAAUACCGAAUGUGCUGAACAUCAUAAGAUGUUCAAGUGAAAGACGGUUUCGGCUGUCACUGUGAGAUGGACCCGCGCUGGAUUAGCUAGUUGGUAAGGUAAUGGCUUACCAAGGCGACGAUCCAUAGCCGACCUGAGAGGUGAUCGGCCACAUUGGGACUGAGACACGGCCCAAAACUCCUAACGGGAGACAGGCAGUAGGGAAUCUUCGGCAAUGGAC
This 361-nucleotide ribosomal RNA is filed under the name uncultured bacterium. Its description in RNAcentral is "bacterial SSU rRNA". It matches the Rfam family "Bacterial small subunit ribosomal RNA", at positions 28 to 376 of the family's 1533-position model. The record is from RNAcentral.